CGUCAGGAUAGCUCAAAUGGCAGAGCAUCAGACUCAUAAUCUGAAAGUUACGGGUUCGAGUCCCGUUCCGACUCC
This 75-nucleotide transfer RNA is filed under the name Gimesia fumaroli. RNAcentral describes it as "Planctomycetes bacterium Enr17 tRNA-Met". It matches the Rfam family "tRNA". From Rfam's summary of the family: Transfer RNA (tRNA) molecules are approximately 80 nucleotides in length. Their secondary structure includes four short double-helical elements and three loops (D, anti-codon, and T loops). The record is from RNAcentral. Lineage: Bacteria; Pseudomonadati; Planctomycetota; Planctomycetia; Planctomycetales; Planctomycetaceae.